GACGAACGCUGGCGGUGUGCUUAACACAUGCAAGUCGAACGGUAAGGCCCUUUCGGGGGUACACGAGUGGCGAACGGGUGAGUAACACGUGAGUAACCUGCCCUCAUCUCUGGGAUAACAGUCGGAAACGGUUGCUAAUACUGGAUAUGAGCUUGCAAGGCAUCUUGUGGGUUGGAAAGAUUUUUUUGGUUGGGGAUGGACUCGCGGCCUAUCAGCUUGUUGGUGAGGUAGUGGCUCACCAAGGCUUCGACGGGUAGCCGGCCUGAGAGGGCGACCGGCCACAUUGGGACUGAGAGACGGCCCAAACUCCUACGGGAGGCAGCAGGGGGGAAUAUUGCACAAUGGACGGAAGUCUGAUGCAGCAACGCCGCGUGCGGGAUGACGGCCUUCGGGUUGUAAACCGCUUUCAAUUGUGACGAAGCUUUUUGUGACGGUAGCAGUAGAAGAAGCACCGGCUAACUACGUG
RNAcentral lists this ribosomal RNA (466 nucleotides) under uncultured bacterium. RNAcentral's name for it is "partial 16S ribosomal RNA". It matches the Rfam family "Bacterial small subunit ribosomal RNA", at positions 28 to 507 of the family's 1533-position model. The record is from RNAcentral.